GACAUGCAGACGGGGGUCUCGCUGAGCCAGAUGGACGGACAGGCAGACAGAUGGACAGACAGACAACCUGGGAACUUACCGGCGCAGUGGUGAGCAGGCAGCCAGAUCCAGAUCGCCCUUUCCCAGCGCCUGGCUCUGCUCCAAGCUCUUCCUCGUCCUUUUAUUAUUUUUUUUUCUUCCUUCCUCCCCCUCCUCCUCUUCCUCCUCCUCUUCCUCCUCCCUCAGGGCUUCUGCAUAGAGGCCGGGGUCCACCUUCUCUCGGCCGCUGUCAGAAGGGGUGAUGCUCUCCAUGAGGUUUGCUUUGCUCCUUCUGUAGGGAUGGACUGACCUCAGCAAGAGGAAUGUGUCUGAAAGCCAUAGGAGCUGUAUCUUCAUCACGGCCAUUUCUUCCAUCACAGAGCUCCCAUGGGACAUCUCUCAGGAAAACAAGACGGGAUGCAUCGGAGAACCGGCAACACAUAUCCGCCAGAUAAUUAGAUUGAAAGAAAACCUCCCCUCUGAAGACAGUGAGAUGAUAAAAGAGAUCAAGGUCCCUGGGAAAACUUAAUCCUUCCCUGUUUUCCAUUACUUCUCAGGUUAUUUCACUCCGCUAUUAAGAAAUUUGGUGUGCUGAUGAGUAGGAGAGAAAGCUUCCGGACUUGGAAAAAAGAGAAGUUGGGUUGUAUGAGGACAGUCUAUUAAAGAUUCAGCAACUGUACAAACCCCACAGGUAGAAAGUCCCCCGGGAUCUCUGGUAGAACGAGACUGAUUAAAGCCUGACACUGGAGGUGUCCUGCAGCCACCCUCAAAAACACAAGAUAAGAACAGUCCCUAGAGAGCUGCCUCUCCACCCAAACCCAACGCUGAUAUGUGUCUCAUUGGCCACCAGGAGACCUGCAGAUCUCUCCCCAAAACCUUGGGAAAUAACUACCGAAUUUUUUGUUGUCAGAAUCAUUAGGGUUGGAAAAGACCUCCAAGAUCAACCAACCCUCCACCUACCACCAACAAUGCCCCACUAAACCACCUCUCUAAGUACCCCAUUGACAUGUUUCUGCAGCACCUCCAGAGAUCUCAAGCCCAGACAGCACUACAGGGCUCUGCACCUAUGGCUGUCACCUCCACGUUUAUAGGAGGAAGGGACAAGGCAGUCACAGACCAGCACAAAUCCACCCUGCUCAGUGAAACCGCAGCGAUUUACUGCAGCUGACAGGAGCGUGUAUUGAUGUUGUCACCAUCACCCGGGGUCAUUCUCACCACAGCGUGGCUUUCUCUCUCCCUUUCAUGUUGAGAUUUGCUCUUAGGCUUUUCCCUUGCAGGGAGUUUGAUGGAUGAAAACCUAGUGCGUGAGUCUGAUGCAAGGGGAGUUGUUUGGAGACUGCUUCCGUCUCUGGCUGUAUCAAUAAUUAAUAUGUUGAUCCAGAGCAAUAUUAUAAACAGGGUAAAUAUUUUUUCUUUCCUCGUUUGCUAUUUGGUGAACAGCAAAAGAAAAAUAACUGCUGGUGUCACUGCUCAGUGAGCUUCCCAGCGUCCCAGCCGACCACCCAAACAUUUCCAGUACGGAGCUGGGGAUGUGGGAAACCAGGAUCACAAGCACUCAGAAACUCAAAUCUGGGGAAUAGAGGAUCCAGGGCUGGUAAAUUUGAAAUGUUUUAACGUUUGGAAAGGUCGGAUCUCUGCCUGAGCUGUUUCAUGUUGACGUUUUCCCUAAUGAAGGACUAAUAAGUCCCCUCCUUCCCCCCAGUCUUUCUGUUUUCUGCUUUUCCAGACAGGGCAUUCCCGCAAGAUUAAAGCUUUGACUUUUUAAAGCUUCUCUUUUCUUGGGAAAAUCGCACCUCCCAGAUAUAAUGGCCCGGUGUCCCAUGAGACCAGUUGUGUUUUGUGGGCAGCUAAAAGGCCACUGUAUGGGGACAGAAGUGUGGGCAGGAAUCUCACUACAAGCAACAGUUUCUCAGCAUCAUCCCAUUGACAGUUUUCAUUUUUGUGCUCAUUAUUCAGUCUUAGUUCCUCUAACACCACAAUUUGGAUUUAGAAAUCGCAUCCCAUCUCAAUGUGUCCAUUAGAGUUGAGGAGGUCUUGGGAAGAGAGGCUGAAGCAUCACUGGCAGAGAGCUUUCAGCAGCUAGAUUUCCAAACUUUUUAUCCUCAGAGCAAGUAAAGGGCACUUUUCCAGAGGCAUUUAGCACCCGACUUGCUCACUGCUGGCUUAAAACAUUUUGGCCUCGAUGCUGAAAGUUUCUAAGGUCAUUUCAUCAUCUGGCUCCAGUUUAUUCUCAAGAACACCACUGCUGACAUGAUUCACCUGAGACCAAUUGUAUCCAUGGUCUUUGAACUUCUUCAUUAUGCAGAUAGGACUUUCCUCCUCCUCCUUGUCUGCAAAGUUGUCUCUGUCUUCCGUGCUGGUCCUUGAGGUUCCACGGUCCAAAUUAAAAUAUCAUCUGCUGUAACUUCAGCACCUCCUAAUCCCUCAAAUAUCUGCUAAAUUACUCUUUGAAAUACCUUGGGAGCAGAACUAAUUCCAGAUGGCAUUAGCUUAAAUUUGCAAUGUCCAACUGGUGUAUUAAAAAUCACCAGCUUUGAGCCCCAUUCAUCUAAUUUUACCGGCUUUAAUAGAUAUUCUGCCUUCCUGCUGAGAGUAUUUCUGCUUCUGAGAACAUUGCUAACUCUUCAUUAAGGGUUUCCAGCAGAUAAUGUCUCUGUUUGAAAGGUUUUAUUUAAACCAUAUAGAUCAAUCUGCAUCUGUGAUUUAUCUGGCUUUUUGAUUCACACCCCAGUUAAUCCACUAGCUUUAGCCUAGUCUGCUGGUUGAUGGAGUCCAAAGGGAUGACACACAACAGCAGGAUGAGUGGUUUGGUGUUGAUGCAGAAAGCAACCCCAGGACUAGCUGGGGAACCAAGCUUUUUCCGACCCUACAGUUCUGCCUCAUUCCCUCUCUGCCAGCAGAAGCAGUAGGAGCAGUUUUGUCAGGUUGCGGACCAGUAGUUUUUCACCAUUUCCAAUAAAUCUUGCAGUGACAAGGACUGCAAGCAUACAAGGAAAGUCUUGGAAUCAUAAAGUAGAACCAUUGAAUCAUCAAGGUUGGAAAGGGCCACUAGGAUCAUCUAGUCCAACUGUUGACCCAACCCCACCAUGCCCAUUAGCAUGUCCCUCAAUGCCACACCUACACGGUUCUUGGACACCCCCAGGGAUGGUGACUCCACCACCUCCCUGGUCUGCCUGUGCCAGUACAACUCUUUUAGAGAAGAAAUUUUUCCUAAUAUCAGGCCUAAUAUCCUAAUGUCUUGUAGUGGAUGAGCUCCAGUGUGUAAGAGCAGUCUGUGGAGCAAUUGUUUGUCUCCAGCCCAAAAUUCCCCCAGAAGGACAACUUUCUCCAAACUUCCUUCAGGGUUUGAGGCACCCAAGACUGACAAGUCAGAUCCAAGGUGGAUCUGAACCGGGUCUCCUGUGAUGGUGUGGAACUGAGAACCUUCACUCCAUCUCCAGCCAUUGCUGGGCACAUCUUGGGGUACAGGUGGAUCUGCUCAGUGCUGGGGCUCGCCUGUAUCUUGGAGAGUGGGAAUUGGUCUCCUUGAGCCAAAAUGUGAGUAUUGAAGCUUGAGCACACUUGUCCCUAUGAUAAAUUAACAGGAUUCACUGCUUGUAUGGUACCCAACAAAGAUUCACCCAGGCUUGUACGCAGCAUGCAGGAGCCAAAAUGAGGUAACAGAAGGGAAAGAAAAAAUAAAGAAAAAAAAAGGAUGGAGAACUGGAGAAAAAUGAAAGGAAAGCCCUUGAAGGUUGCUAGCCUGGUGUGUGUGAAAGAGGAGCUGAGCUGCCAUGCGAGGAGUAGGGGACACAGCCGGAGCUGGGGGGUGACACUGCAACACUGUCACUGCUGGAGCUGGUAUCCUGAGCUGGAGCAGGCAGGGAUGCUGGGCAGUGCUGGGUUGGAGGCCAGAUGGCACCUGAUGCCCACCGUGCCACUGCAACCCACCAGACGAUGACGCUUGGUGUUUACAGACUGCUAGAACUGCACUGGGCAGCCUGACUUUAAUCCCAUUCCUCCAUCGUCGCAUCCUUACCCUGCCCACGGACACCAUGUCCAGGGCAGCUUCAUUAUUUGCCUUUGUGCUCAGCCAGAGCUCUCUGCUUCCCCUGUGGCAGGAUAUUAACUGGGUUUAAUUUCAAGGAACAAAUCCCCUCUGUCCUCUGGGUUCCACUCUCGUACUCGGGCCAGCUCAUUUCCAGGCUGGCUUCCAGCAGGAAGGGUUGGAGGCCACACGGCAGCUGCUCAGAUGAUGGGGCUGGAGCUGCCAGCAAUUUUCUGCUGUGACCAAAAUGAUCUUUAAUAAAUGCAUGGGGGAUUUCUCAGGUUUUUUAUUUCCUCCUUUUUCCCUGGACUUUGGGCAAACUGCAGCAAAGAUGGAGCAGUGGGAACCGAGGGAUGGGAAUCAAGGAUGGUUGGAGGUGAGCUGCCCACGGGAAGGAUGGAUGAGGUUGGGUGGCUUUGGGGACAGGGAGCUCUUGCAGAUGCACGGCUUCUCCUUCAUCCUCUUGCAAACUUAAUUCAAGAUACACAGGAGACCAUAGAAUCAUAGAAUCAUUAAGGUUGGAAAAGACCUCUAAGAUGACCCAGUCCAACCAUCCACUUACCACCAAUAUCACUCACUCACCAUGUCCCUCAGUGCCACAUCCCCACGCUUCUUGAACACAUCCAGGAAUGGUGACUUCACCAUCACCCUGGGCAGACUGUGCCAACGCAGCACCACUCAUUCGGAGCUUUUCCUAAUAUCCAGUCCUCCCAAAGGAGAGCAGUGGCAGUGAAGCCCUUUGCCAUGUUGCUGCUGCAGGAGUUUUCUUGCAGACCAUGCAGUUUUAUUCAACUGGAAAAAUUCCUAGAGGCAUAUUAAUAUAAAAAAGAAAAGAAAAAAAAAUCCCCACUGCCAUUAUAACAGAAGUGUCAUAAUGGAUCUUUUCAAUGUCACUUCAUUCCAAUAGUCAAAAUGUUUCAUUUAGAUGUUAUCACUUUAAUUUCAUCCUGACUUUUUUACUGUCUCACUUGUGUAUAGGCUUCGUAUUACAUCUCACAUUACGCUGUUCAAACAUCACCCAAGUGGAACGCAGCCACUUCUUGAAAUGAAUCAGGGCGGGAUUGGAGUACUUUGGUUUCACACAGAAUCUUCCCUCCAUUCCUGUGGAGAGACUGCACGCUUUUGCCUUCGUGGUCCAGGCUGCAAUAAAACCCAGAGCUGCCAUUUUGGAAUUUCCACUGUCCGCAAUGGGGGGUUGGAACUGCACGGUCUUUGAGGUCCCUUCCAACCCAAGCCAUUAUACGGUCCUAUGAUUCUAUGAUUCAAGAUGCUGUGAGUUAGCUCUGGGGAUGAGGCUGCUCUGGUCCCCGCAUCACCCCCUGUGCCCACUGUCCUGGGAGGUUAUGCCUAUGAAUACUGAUGGUAUUUGUCUCACCCUGACCUCUUUGUAUAUCAUCCAACAUGCGUUUUCAUGCCAGUACUGACUGAGCUUGGAAAGCUGCAUCCCUAUAAACGGGUGGAGGAGAGGUAGAGACAGCAAGAUUGGCCUCGAGGGAUGCGGCAAUGUGAAUCUGUUUCCCAAAGUUUGUGUUCACUUGCCUUGCCUAAGGGAGGAGAAAAAAGAGGAGAGAACACGACAGGAGAAGGAAGAUGGAGCGUGCAGUGAGCAGAGCAGAUUUCCUUGCCGCUAGGUUUGCUUUCCCUUGCCAGGGGGACAAAACAACCAGAAGGUUGGAAAGUGUCCUGGAGAAGGUCUCCACAGAAGCAAGCCAAAUGCAUUUAGAGUGGAUAAACACCAGGUGAGGAACUACAUGAAAAUUGGAGAUACUUGUCCUGUUUGUGGCCAGGAUGUGCUUCCUGAGGCAGUGCCUGUCUUGCUUUUCUCCAUCAGGAGCUUCUGUUUUGGAGUCCUUUUCCUAAGAAACAGAGCAUAACUCCCCUCAAAUUUCUCAACCAAACCACCCUACUGCAUCAUCUGCCCUGGCUGGAGGUGCAAGGCUGGGGCAGCCCUUGUCCUGGGGGUGCAGAGGCGGUGGGUAGCACUCCCCCCAUUCCCAGCAAGGAUUGAUGCACCGUAGGGCUGGGCAUGGAAUCCUGAUUACUCAUUUGCUUUGACGGCCCUGAGAGCUUCACUUUUCACCCAGGCUUGACGUUUUUAUGGCAGAGCGAGUUAUUAAUCGUUAUUUUGAGCAGUGUUUGCAGGAAUGCUAUUUCUGCUAGAGCAGCGCAGGUGGGACACGUGCACGCAGAUGGGAGCUGCCAGGGAGCUCAGCUGGCAGCAUUUCGGGGUGAAAACUGUUAUUUCACUCUUCUCUCCAGCGCUUCCCAUGGUGCCAAAUGGUUAAGGGUUAUGGGAGGGAAACCUGGGCAGAAUGGGAAAUUUGGAGAGAAGGCAAAGAAGGAGGGGAAGGAGAGCAAAGACCUUCAUUGGAGCCAUUCUGGAAGCUUUCGCUGGCCUCUUUUAUAUUUCUGAAGAGGCUAUUUUACCAAUAUAUUUAUUUUUAUUCAUUUGCACUAGAAAACUCCAUGUGCCUGCCCUGCCUUCCCCAACCCGUUAUCGUGCAUCUGCUAAAUGGAGCUGGGCAGCCAGCAGCAAGGGGAGGACAUGAAACUUUAAUAGUGCUGCCUCUCUAAAAGCCAGAUUUGAGCUUCUCUCCUCUUUUUGAACUUCUGCGUGUAGAAUGCUGCUGAUGGAGCACGUUACCUGUUUAAAGAGCUGCUCCCCGUGCCAAGGAGCUGCAGCAGAGGCCACCUCGGUGUGGUGGGAUGGAGAUGUGAUAGCUUUAUUCCUCAUGGGCUUUGGUCAUAAGGCACGGGUCCAUCCCUCUUCAGCUUGGCAGUAAGCCUUCCUUUCUUCUUCAGAACGAGAGAAUAGCAUCAGUCCAACAGUAAAUAAAAGUUACAAUGCCCAAUAUAAACAUUCGUUGGCAUCCUACGCCCACAUGUCUGCAUGUUGCCUGGUUACAAGUAUAAAGGCUAGUGGCUUAUUUAUCCAGGAAAUCUGUCCUGAGUAUAACCUCAUGUCUGUGUUUCAGCCGGCGCAAUUCGCUCGGAGCAAGCACUAUAGGUGAUCUCAGUGUGAACUGCCCCCCCCUGGCCCCUGCAAUUUUCCACCUCACCCCAAAUAAACCUUGCUUUAAAAGACUGGAGACACCAAAGGGGGAUUUGGGGCCGUUCUGACGGCGUCGGUGGGUAAUCUGCCAAUGAUUUAAUUGUAGCGGUGCCUGGUUUUGUGCUCAUAAACCAAGCUGGGGGCAGUUGUUUGUGACUGUUCCCAGCCUCUGACUGCUUUUCUGGUGCAGAACAUCUUCCCCAGCCCGUGGUGCCAGCUGGGCUGCCCGCCAGCAGUGUUGCAAGGUGAGGCAAUGGGUCUGGAAAGCCGCUCGUAUCUCUGACUCCUCUUUUCCACUCUAUCCUGCUGGGUUUUGAUAUGUGCCUGCCAUGUCUGACCACAUUUUGUCUUUUCCAUGUGAAACACCGCCCUCCCCCUCAGUCUUGCUUUGCAGGCUGAGCACAACCCAGCAUUGGUACCACUUCCCUGUGGAUAUCUCCAGGUUGGGAUGCCCUAGCCUUGUCCGUAGAGCCAAGGAAAGCCUUUCUCAAUAGGCAGAGAGCCUUCUUUUCAGGCUGGAUAUUAAGAGAAACUUCUUUUCUGAGUAUUUGAGGAUAGGGACGGACUGUGCAGGGAGAUGGUGGGGUCACCAUCCCUGGAGGUGUUCAAGAACUGCGGAGAUGUGGCACUGAGGGACGUGAUCAGUAUUGCAGUAUUGGUGGUAGGUGGACAGCUGGACUUAGAAGCCUUCUCCAGCCUUUAUGAUUCUGUGAUUCUUCAUAAUAAACACUAAGCUGAUCUUAAACAUAGAAAUAUUUCCCACUGGAACCCAAGCCUGGGCUCUGUAGGAGAUGCUGGUGUGCAGCCAUAAGUAAUUUAUGGCAUCACAUAUAUCCUGGAAUCUGAAGGGUGUUGAAAGAAUUGAUCCAAGGCGUUUCUAGGCAGGUGAGGACCUGUGAACUUAGAGGAGUUAACAACAUUAAUUUGCUUUUUACCGCAUAGGCAUAAGCUGUCAAUAUUACCUUGACGUCGUUCAAAGAGCCAAUUGGCACAGUUGUUCAUUAGGAAAUGGCCCUAUAAAAGUGCUCUUUGAAAAAUUUAUGGAACCCAUAAAAGGAAGUAAUAUCAUGAACAAAUGGAGAGACACCAAAAACGACGUCCUUCGCGUCCCCACAAAAGCUCGUGUGUCACAAAGCAGUGUCUGUAAAUCUUGGGGGGGAAUUUGUGGCAGCUGUUCCAUUUGGCCACGCCGGGGCCUCGUGUGCAAUCAAUACACGAGGUUGUUCCUUUAGAUAGAUCUGUGGGAGCACCUUUUUCUACUGCUGGUGGCUUUCCCCACUUGUCUGCAGGGGCUUGGCAGCAAUGACCACCUAUUCAUUGCUCUAUAGCAUUAGAGAUGGGUUUUAACACCACCUCGGCAGAGAUGUAGCUCGCCCAUAAAGGCAUCACUGUGACUGGGAGAGGUGUAUGGCUUCAUCCCUUACAUGGGGACGGAGAUGCCCAGUGCCAGCACAAGGCUGUGUUGGGGUCAGAGCCCAAAUCCUGCUGGCUCCUCACACCACACAUCUGCCAGCCGCUCCGAGGUGUGAAAUGGGGCACUUGGACCAUCUCCUGGAUGGUGAUGGAUGACAGAGAGAUUAGCAUUCAUUGCUCUGGAUGUCUCCAUCAGCUCCUCUCAGCCAUUCAGUUCUUGCAAUCCCAGACUUUUCUUUCUCUCAUCCCAAGGUUUUCUCAUGCUUAAUACCCAUAUUUAGCCUCUUGUUUCAUGGCCUUCACUGGUUUGUCCUGCUGUCAAGUUAAACACAAGCUCCACAACCACAAGUAUUUAUCAGAAGAAGCCUUUUUUUUUUUCUGCUCGGAAAACCCCAAAGUUGGAAAUCUUAAGCCAGAAAAAGCACCGGAUCAGUCAUAUCUGGUGUGUCACCGCCUGGCUGGAGAUGCUGCAUUUAUUUACACACGCGUUAGGGAGAGGAAACAGCCGCGACCUGAUUGCCCAUUCAUCUCAGCUCUGCAGUUCCCCUGUUUCGAUGAGCUUUGCGAGUGUUCACUGGUAAAUCUUUGAUUUCAAGGAGGCGAGGUCAUGCUUUGCUUCUCAGUGCGCCAGGAGUAAAACAUUGCCCGGGGCACGCGGACGUGAAUGCAAUCACCUAAAUUUCUUUGCUGAUGUGGUCUGGGAGGAAGGCUUUUAUUUCAUUUGCUUUAUUUUCCCAGCUUGAAUGAAGCUGUGCUGGAGGGAGAAGUCUUCUCUGGGAAGCGAAUGCUAAAGCCAUACCUGCCCCCAGCCCUUCCUACCACAGAUUUCAUUUUCCACCCACUCUUUGCCUUUUGGGAUCUUUGCAACGAGGGUUAAAAUGCUCCAGGCUGCCAGCGUGCUUUGGAGAUGGCUUCAGCUUGCUCCAUCCUAAGCUUGGCUGCUCCUCCAGCCCCCGGUAGAUGUGACCCUACUAUUCCUACAUCCUUACUGUAGCGUGAGAUGUUCUUCUGCACUGAGCGGAGCGCUGCUGUCCAUGGUGAGGACACAGCUCCUCAACCAGAGCCAUCCACCACGGAUAACCAUAACCCUGGAUGCGCCUUCUUGGCAUUGCAGCUGCAGGCCUGGAGCACUGGAGUACCCAACUUCAAUCUCUUGUGAGAUGGGUCCCCAUGUGUCGCCUUGCUGCGCUCUGCUGGACCCCCAGAGAGACCCCUUCCAGGGGAGUAUGUGGAUCUUGAGCACCAAAGCAAGGAGAUGAGGAGGAGUGAGGAUGUGCUGUUUCACCAUGCUGGGGAACAUUAACUGGUAAUGGAAACGUGUUUGUGUGGUGGCUGCUUAUAGGUUUGCUCCCUUCAGCACUUUCCCAUUAAUAAGGCCUGGUGAACGUUCUCAGGCAUAUCAACUCUAAAUAGAUAGCUUGUCAGCUGGGAACUGAGCCCUUCAUAGAUCUCUUUGAUGGAACAGUUUUUAAGAACAAAACUGGGGACGAAGAGGGAGUGCUUGCAGGCCUCCAUCCAUAAAAGAUGAAUGGGUCUCUGGAAGAUGCUGUCAGAGAAGUUAAACAGCUAUUGGGCCAAGGGUGGGUUUGCUGCCCAAAGGAUUCCUCCAUCCCAGCAUCCCUUCCUUCCUCGCAGUGUACCCCUGCCUUCAAUUUCAUUUAAGACUGCCCUGGUUAGCUUUGUUCAAGACCUCUUCACCACCUUUUUCCCCACUUAUUUCUAUGAGUCCAACCUUGACCCACUCAAGAAAGAGACAAGAAUCCUUGGAAAUCCAUCAUGAAUUUAUUAUGUAUAUGUUUUUCUCUGACUUUUUCAUGGUUUCUGGGAAGCAGAAGACAGGAGAGCAUGACAGCUGAGCAGAACUCAUCACGGAGAGCAGUUAAGAGUGGCUUGGUGAUUCAAGACGUGCCAUUUUAAGAAGUCAGGCUUCCAGAUCACUGCCUGGAAGACUGGUCUGGAAGCAGAAGUCUCCGGCGAGCAUGAGGAACUCAUCCAUCCUUCCCCACGCUGGCAGAUGGAGCAGAAAACCUGCUGAUAUAUUCAAGGUCCUAAGAAGUUUUGAAGCGGCCAGUGGAUAUUAAUAUGGAACAGGAGCGCACCGUCCCCGCUGACCAGCUUUUAUCACCCCAGACACAUCUGCUGAUGCAGAGCUAUUUGUUUUGCAAGAGAUGCUCCCUGGGCAGGGAUCAGGGAGAGAGAGCUAAUGCAGGCUGAUGGGAUUCAUUUAGGGGAUGAGGAGGAGGAGUGGAAGAGGAGGGUCAAGGGAUUGACCAAGAUUUGUCUUGCUGCAGAGGGAGAAUGAGGGAUGUGGGGUUCCCCAUCUCUUUGAUCCUGGAGGCCACGUCUGUCUUCACAUUUGGGUUUUGCUGCCAGCAAGGAAGGGCUGGCAGAGGGUAGAGUUAAGGAUGGGAUCUUAUGAUUAUAUCAGGCACUGCGCGUGGCAGAGCGUGAUGGUGAAGCUCAUGCUUGCUUUCCUAAAUGUGAUUGCCCUGGAGAGACGAUGCAGACCAUCCUCUUCCAGAUCCCCAUUGCAGCCCAUCAUAAGCUGGGUCUCCCUUCAUUCCCCAGCAAACCCAGAGUGCAAACAACCCCUUUUCUUGCCCUAAUCUGGCAAAACCCCUUCUCCCUUGCAAACAGCUGCCUUUUCAGCGGUGCAGCGGAGGCCCUUGCUGGGCUCCUGAUUUACGCAGACCCGACCGAGGGAUUGUUCUGAAAUGGAUUUGUUAGUAUUAAUUACGCCGUGUCCCUGCUGAGAUUUUUAACAAGAUUAUGCUUCCAGAGCGUC
Gallus gallus (chicken) is the source of this 11295-nucleotide long non-coding RNA. RefSeq lists it as uncharacterized. The record is from RefSeq and is a predicted model, not a curated record. The transcript has 5 exons. Lineage: Eukaryota; Metazoa; Chordata; Aves; Galliformes; Phasianidae.